Molecule: non-coding RNA, 2949 nt
Organism: Sus scrofa (pig)
Lineage: Eukaryota; Metazoa; Chordata; Mammalia; Artiodactyla; Suidae
Source: RefSeq, a predicted model, not a curated record
CCAGAAGCGGCUUUCUCCAGAGACGCUGAGAGCGCGGUUUUGGAAGAAGCAUAAGUUGGGUUUGUCUGAGUUUGCGUCAGCCUGGUUUCCUGCUCUAUCUAGUUUGGAGAGGAUUCACUCCGCACGGCUUUUUUCCCCUUCUGCAACCUGAGUGGCGUGGCCGCGUAGUGAUUUCCGUGAGCGUUGCUAAAGUGGGACCUAGGUCGUGUUCAGGGCAGAUUGUAUCUGCUUUUGGUAAACAAGAAGCAGAAAGGAAGUUUGAAACUCUGUUGCAAAACUUGUCCCAUCCUCCAUCAUUCACAACUGUCAGAGAAAAUACGCAUUUAGCCUCAGUACAACAUGUGAAAAAUCUGUUAUGUGAUGAACUUCAGAAGGAGAAGCUUCUUGGAGCUGGGAUUCAAGACUCUAAAGAAGAGGCUGUUACCAAACUGCUACUCGGGAUUCGGAGCAGGCGAACCUCCAUUCUUACCCGAAUCUUUUGACGGAAUUCUUCUUGAUGCCCCCUGCAGUGGAAUGGGACAGAGACCAUACAUGGCUUGUACUUGGACUUUGAAGGAAAUGAUACCAUAUCAACCAUUACAGAGAAAACUCUUUACUGUGGAGCCUCAAAUCUGAGGAGCAGGGAUGAUGGGAGUCGGCCUGACAUCUGAACAGUUGAAACAGCUGCAGCAAUUCGAUCCGUUGGUGGUGCCAUCACGGGACACCAACUUUGUCUCAGAGACAGCAGAACAGAAGACAUGAUCCGGCUGGCCAAAGAGGACUGUAUUAAAAGUGAGAAUACUGCACAAUUUGGGUACCUUAUCACCUGAUGGAUCACAUACAGGUUAUUAAGAGAUGUGAGUGGUGAGAAAGAGAAAAAAGCAUCCUCUGAGAGCUGGAAGGUGGCCGGGCACUUAGAGCUAAGCCUUGGCAUCAUAUCACCGAACAGAAGCAGGUCCACAGUACACCGACCUCAGACCAUGCAGCUGUGACUGGGCCAGAUCAAGACAAAAAAGACCUCUUCACAGUUUAAAAUCUGAAAUCAUCCAAACUGCAAAUGUGACCAAACACAUCUCUCCCCGUAGUGGCCAGUUUAAGAGGACUGCCUUUUUAAAAUUAAUUGUAACGGUGGGCUUGCUUCAUCCUACCUGCUUUUUUAGGUUUCCAUUAGGAAUUUCUCGAAUCUGUUGUAUCCAUCAGGAAUGCCAGGUCUCGUGGAUCAGUGUGACACUUGACGUAUGAAUAAGAUGAGAAUAUCCUGCACUGCAUCACUUCGCAAAGGGUGAGGAAUUAAAUUCAUCAUCAAGAGGGAUCUCCAUUUUAAGAAUGAACAAUAAAAUUUAAAAUCCGAGUCAAGAAUUGCUGAAUACGUAGAAUGAAGGUGGGGAGAAGUUGACUCGGCUGUGCUCAGGCCUCAGGAACCUUUUACCUGCCGGAAGCUGUCGUUUUAUCAGACGUGAUGGGAAGACCACUGCAGGCCCUCAGUGACUGGCAAGGCCCCACAGGAAGAUGGGCCAUGAGUGGGAGGUGCUGGAGCAAGAACAAGGAGCCAGCAGAUGCGCGCCCCCUCUGGCUGUGAGCCUCCUCCCGUCCCUGCCCGCCCCCCUUACCCCGCAGCAUCCCGCGGCUUGUGACCUGCAGGGCAGGUAAUGAGACCAGCACUGUUGUAAGAUAGUGACAUACAUUGUCAUCAAUACAGCCACCUGAUAAUCUUGAGAACAGACAUGAGAUGGGACAGGUCACGACAUGGCCUCAUGAGGUAGGUGGCCACUAGUAUUCCUGAGGCACAGAGCAGGCAAGGAAUUGGUCCAAGAUUACACAGCAGGGAGGAGGUGGUGAGGGAUAGGAACCUAGGCAGCCUGAGUCCACAGGCUCGGCUGCCCCCAUGUAGAAAGUUCUGCCAUCCCUGUCUUAGUAGGCUAUGGGGCUAGGGGCUCUUACAGGUUUCUAUACCUUCACCGGAUUCUGCUUUUCUUAUAGGUACUCAGUUGACACUGGAGAUACUUGAGGACUCAGCGUUUGUCACAUUCUGGAUAGAGCUGCCCAGUUGGAACAAGCACAGCACCCGGGUUCGGGGCACAGAUCCUAGCCAGGCGGCCGCAGGGAAGAGCUGCUUGCUUACCUCAGGGAGAACUCGAGGAGGAAGAAGACAACAUCGGCUGGUGAUUCCUGCUUAGACGUCACCCACCACUGCUUCUUCAUCAUCAGCGCAAAUGUCUGAACAGCGAAAAAGGGGGCGAAUGUCUCAGUGUUACUUACCAUGGAGAUGCUCUUCGCCUAAUGGACCCUCUGACAGCGCCUCAGAAGCUCCUCCACCACGAAUCCAUGGGCUGCUCUUUGGGAAUCACUGUUCUACACCAUGAAAUUAAUCAUCCUCCUCUGCUUCUAUGAAUCUUAACAAUUCUUGAUCACCAUCUCUCUCUCAAACCCUCUGUGGAAGGUAAAAGCCUGUUUAUAAUUGGAAAGCAGGAUAUAAACACACAUUAGUAAAGUUUCAUUACACAACAAACACUAACAACCUGGCUUACCUUAGGAGAAGACAUCUUGUAAUAGGGGCCACAGAGGUUUUACUGAGUUGAGCUGGAUGAUUAAUAAGUAUCUGCAUCAAGGUCCACCAGUUGCAGUCUUCUUGCAAGUUCAAAAAUCCUCUCGAUUUCACUCUGAACUUCUGCUGUAAAAGAUUAUUCAGACCAGAUUGAGAUAAAAGUAAAAGGCUACUCCUGGAGGUGAGCCAUUAGGUUGAUGUCUACAGGUAAGAGAGCUGAGAACAGGCAUCAAGGGAAAAAGCCAUUUCUUCACAACACCUCUAGAAUUUAGAGAAUUCCUAUCAGCUAUAAGAUUUAGUUCUAAUAUAACAUACAAUCUGAGAGUCAACUUUUUUGGCUCGCUCUCUGCUGACUUGUGUUUGGUGCUAUAAAACUUCUAUGAAGUCAUUCCAUGAAAAUGUUGUAAAAUAGAAACUUGAAGAGC